RNAcentral lists this ribosomal RNA (330 nucleotides) under uncultured eukaryote. Its description in RNAcentral is "partial 18S ribosomal RNA". It matches the Rfam family "Eukaryotic small subunit ribosomal RNA", at positions 1470 to 1796 of the family's 1831-position model. The record is from RNAcentral.
CCCUUAGAUGUUCUGGGCCGCACGCGCGCUACACUGAUGCAUUCAACGAGUCUAAAACCUGGUCUGAUAGGGCUGGGUAAUCUUUUGAAAGUGCAUCGUGAUUGGGAUAGAUGAUUGCAAUUCUUCAUCUUCAACGAGGAAUGCCUAGUAAGCGCAAGUCAUCAGCUUGCAUUGAUUACGUCCCUGCCCUUUGUACACACCGCCCGUCGCUCCUACCGAUUGAAUGAUCCGAUGAAUACCAUGGAUUGAGAGUACGAAUGGGUUCGCUCAUUUCUGCUGCUCGAGAAGUGGAGUAAAUCUUAUCAUUUAGAGGAAGGAGAAGUCGUAACA